This 114-nucleotide ribosomal RNA is filed under the name Fasciola hepatica (liver fluke). Lineage: Eukaryota; Metazoa; Platyhelminthes; Trematoda; Plagiorchiida; Fasciolidae. The record is from RNAcentral.
GCCACCGCACCAUGUUGGGAAUACCGUUUGUCGUCUGAUCACCGAAGUUAGGCAAUUUUGGGCCAGGUUAAUACUUGCAUGGGUGGCCGGCUGGGAAUGCGGGUUGUUGUGGCU